CCACCACAAGUGUGACAAGAUUUGAUAAAAAAUUAAGCUUAUGACAUGUGGACCAUUCAGCUAGAAAAGUGUGACAUGCCACAAAUAUGGCAAUGAAUCAAAACACAUGUCUAAGAUAUUGUGACAUGAGUAAGUAUAGACGUGACAACCUUAGGCUGCAAAUCAAAUGCCCUUUUGCCAUUGACGAGUGGGACGAUCCACAUGGGGCUUUCUGAAAUCUCGCUUAUGCUAAAUAAGCCACCUACCAUAUAUUUGCAUAAAUCACACAAAUAUUAUGGCAACUUUGUGUUAUAAACCAUGUGAGCUGCUAACAAACGUACGUGUGUCAAAUUUGUAUUUAUGCGACUGAUUCUGUUACAACCAAGUGCCACAAUAAAGAUGGAUGCUCUUGUACAAAGAUUUACGUCUCUAUAAUGUGAGUACCUUGUUAAAAGCUACUCUCGUAUCAUAGAAAAUCACAUUUUGUAAUGUUGAAUUUAGGGAAACAAGUCUGCCAAGAUUGUCGUGAUGGCUCUAUUCACUGUUCCUGAUGGUAGAGCUUGCGCUAAGAGGUUCCAUGCUAGGAUAUGUUUCGUAUUCCUAUCAUGGAGCAUGGUAAUUAUCUUGAAGAAGCCAUAUAAUCAACUCGCGGGAAGACAACAUCAUGACCAUUUGAAAAGGCGUCAUAAGCAAAGAGCGUAAUAGAAACUCCAUUGCACAAGUACAAGUAAGCAAAAUGAAUAAGAUGUUUUCCAGUUUCUUUGUUUUCCUCCCAUUUCUCCUAGCUAGGAGUUAUACUGGAUGGGGAUGCGAAAAAAUGUAAGCCUAUAGCACGGAUCAUUUGUGACGAUUAUCACACUCAACCUACAUAUGUUGUUUUGUUUUCAAACAAGUUAUGAAAGCGUAUAUAUAGCAGAGGUGUGUUCUUCUGGAAGGUGAUCAUUUGUCGUUAGAAAUAACUCAUGAGGAAACACCUUGACUUCAUGUAUAUUCUUUUGGUUGUCAUUGAAGAAUUGUGAACACAAGCUACACUCAAAUGAUGUGAAACUUUUAUGAGUAUUUGGUGUUUGUUGUGGUGUAGUUUGAAAAGCAUGAUGAAACACAUGAAGUCGUAGCCCGCCUAAUAAGAUUUAAAUUUACACGUCAUUUUUGUAAGUAGAAGAAGAGCGCCUUCGCGAUGUGGAUGAAGUGCCCAAGUGCAGCAUAAGAAGAAGAGCGC
Molecule: long non-coding RNA, 1198 nt
Filed under: Hordeum vulgare
Lineage: Eukaryota; Viridiplantae; Streptophyta; Magnoliopsida; Poales; Poaceae
Description: long non-coding RNA (HVUL_LNC005993)
Source: RNAcentral